GUGGACGCCAGUCUGCAUGGAGCCGACCUUGAAAUACCACCCUUUAAUGUUUGAUGUUCUAACGUUGACCCGUAAUCCGGGUUGCGGACAGUGUCUGGUGGGUAGUUUGACUGGGGCGGUCUCCUCCUAAAGAGUAACGGAGGAGCACGAAGGUUGGCUAAUCCUGGUCGGACAUCAGGAGGUUAGUGCAAUGGCAUAAGCCAGCUUGACUGCGAGCGUGACGGCGCGAGCAGGUGCGAAAGCAGGUCAUAGUGAUCCGGUGGUUCUGAAUGGAAGGGCCAUCGCUCAACGGAUAAAAGGUACUCCGGGGAUAACAGGCUGAUACCGCCCAAGAGUUCAUAUCGACGGCGGUGUUUGGCACCUCGAUGUCGGCUCAUCACAUCCUGGGGCUGAAGUAGGUCCCAAGGGUAUGGCUGUUCGCCAUUUAAAGUGGUACGCGAGCUGGGUUUAGAACGUCGUGAGACAGUUCGGUCCCUAUCUGCCGUGGGCGCUGGAGAACUGAGGGGGGCUGCUCCUAGUACGAGAGGACCGGAGUGGACGCAUCACUGGUGUUCGGGUUGUCAUGCCAAUGGCACUGCCCGGUAGCUAAAUGCGGAAGAGAUAAGUGCUGAAAGCAUCUAAGCACGAAACUUGCCCCGAGAUGAGUUCUCCCUGACUCCUUGAGAGUCCUGAAGGAACGUUGAAGACGACGACGUUGAUAGGCCGGGUGUGUAAGCGCAGCGAUGCGUUGAGCUAACCGGUACUAAUGAACCGUGAGGCUUAACC
This 765-nucleotide ribosomal RNA is filed under the name Escherichia coli. RNAcentral describes it as "partial 23S ribosomal RNA". It matches the Rfam family "Bacterial large subunit ribosomal RNA", at positions 2164 to 2925 of the family's 2925-position model. The record is from RNAcentral. Lineage: Bacteria; Pseudomonadati; Pseudomonadota; Gammaproteobacteria; Enterobacterales; Enterobacteriaceae.